RNAcentral lists this ribosomal RNA (492 nucleotides) under uncultured bacterium. Its description in RNAcentral is "partial 16S ribosomal RNA". It matches the Rfam family "Bacterial small subunit ribosomal RNA", at positions 28 to 507 of the family's 1533-position model. The record is from RNAcentral.
GGUGAACGCUGGCGGUAGGCCUAACACAUGCAAGUCGAACGGCAGCACAGUAAGAGCUUGCUCUUACGGGUGGCGAGUGGCGGACGGGUGAGGAAUACAUCGGAAUCUACUUUUUCGUGGGGGAUAACGUAGGGAAACUUACGCUAAUACCGCAUACGACCUACGGGUGAAAGCAGGGGAUCUUCGGACCUUGCGCGAUUGAAUGAGCCGAUGUCGGAUUAGCUAGUUGGCGGGGUAAAGGCCCACCAAGGCGACGAUCCGUAGCUGGUCUGAGAGGAUGAUCAGCCACACUGGAACUGAGACACGGUCCAGACUCCUACGGGAGGCAGCAGUGGGGAAUAUUGGACAAUGGGCGCAAGCCUGAUCCAGCCAUACCGCGUGGGUGAAGAAGGCCCUCGGGUUGUAAAGCCCUUUUGUUGGGAAAGAAAAGCAGCAGGUUAAUACCCCGCUGUUCUGACGGUACCCAAAGAAUAAGCACCGGCUAACUUCGUG